Molecule: ribosomal RNA, 253 nt
Filed under: uncultured bacterium
Lineage: Bacteria
Description: partial 16S ribosomal RNA
Rfam family: Bacterial small subunit ribosomal RNA
Source: RNAcentral
UACGGGGGGAGCAAGCGUUGUUCGGAGUUACUGGGCGUAAAGAGUAUGUAGGCGGUUGGGUAAGUUUGGUGUGAAAUCUCCCGGCUUAACUGGGAGGGUGCGCUAAAGACUGCCUGGCUCGAGUGUGGGAGAGGAAAGCGGAAUUCCUGGUGUAGCGGUGAAAUGCGUAGAUAUCAGGAGGAACACCUGCGGUGUAGACGGCUUUCUGGACCAUAACUGACGCUGAGAUACGAAAGCGUGGGUAGCAAACAGG